GAUACAGAACCUAUUCCCCCACCCCUCAACCCAAAAUAAUGACAAAAUUAACUUGGUAAUCGUUUCACUGGACAUGCAGUUUCUAAUCAAAUCAGCGAAUUAAGUCAAUAAUUGCAGUUUCCAACACUAAACUUCGACUGAACCUUGCAAUAUCCAACUUGAGCUAAUUUUAAAUCUAUUCUGGAAACCUAGAAAUAAUCAGCAAUUAAAGGAAGAAAAACAAAAACAAAAUCCUCCUUUCCACAAAGUUGCUAAUCGUAUGCAGCUAA
RNAcentral lists this long non-coding RNA (269 nucleotides) under Gossypium raimondii (Peruvian cotton). RNAcentral's name for it is "long non-coding RNA (GRAI_LNC002284)". The record is from RNAcentral. Lineage: Eukaryota; Viridiplantae; Streptophyta; Magnoliopsida; Malvales; Malvaceae.